UACGGGAGGCAGCAGUGGGGAAUAUUGCACAAUGGGCGCAAGCCUGAUGCAGCCAUGCCGCGUGUAUGAAGAAGGCCUUCGGGUUGUAAAGUACUUUCAGUCGUGAGGAAGGUGUUAAGGUUAAUAACCUUAGCAAUUGACGUUAGCGACAGAAGAAGCACCGGCUAACUCCGUGCCAGCAGCCGCGGUAAUACGGAGGGUGCGAGCGUUAAUCGGAAUUACUGGGCGUAAAGGGCACGCAGGCGGUUAAUUAAGUUGGAUGUGAAAUCCCCGGGCUUAACCUGGGAAUGGCAUUCAAGCUGGUUAGCUAGAGUCUUGUAGAGGGGGUAGAAUUCCAUGUGUAGCGGUGAAAUGCGUAGAGAUGUGGAGGAAUACCGGUGGCGAAGGCGGCCCCUGGGACAAAGGCUGACGCUCAUGUGCGAAAGCGUGGGGAGCGAAAC
Molecule: ribosomal RNA, 440 nt
Filed under: uncultured bacterium
Lineage: Bacteria
Description: bacterial SSU rRNA
Rfam family: Bacterial small subunit ribosomal RNA
Source: RNAcentral